GAGAAAGCUGUUGUGAAAACGGACAUUCAGAUAGCCCUCCCUUCUGGGUGUUAUGGAAGAGUGGCUCCACGGUCAGGCUUGGCUGCAAAACACUUUAUUGAUGUAGGAGGGCUUUUGUUUUGGGUAGAGUAUUAAUAACAAGUAAGAUGUGACAUGGAGCUGUAUUCAGUUAGAUUCACGUGAGUCUUAUCCAGCCUUUCA
RNAcentral lists this small RNA (201 nucleotides) under Pongo abelii (Sumatran orangutan). RNAcentral describes it as "processed transcript". Lineage: Eukaryota; Metazoa; Chordata; Mammalia; Primates; Hominidae. The record is from RNAcentral.